This 465-nucleotide ribosomal RNA is filed under the name uncultured bacterium. RNAcentral describes it as "partial 16S ribosomal RNA". It matches the Rfam family "Bacterial small subunit ribosomal RNA", at positions 28 to 507 of the family's 1533-position model. The record is from RNAcentral.
GACGAACGCUGGCGGCGUGCUUAACACAUGCAAGUCGAACGGAAAGGCCCUUCUUGCAGGGUACUCGAGUGGCGAACGGGUGAGUAACACGUGGGUGAUCUGCCCUGCACUUCGGGAUAAGCCUGGGAAACUGGGUCUAAUACCGUAUAGGAGCCAUUUUUAGUGUGAUGGUUGGAAAGUUUUUUCGGUGUAGGAUGAGCUCGCGGCCUAUCAGCUUGUUGGUGGGGUAAUGGCCUACCAAGGCGGCGACGGGUAGCCGGCCUGAGAGGGUGGACGGCCACAUUGGGACUGAGAUACGGCCCAGAAUCCUACGGGAGGCAGCAGUGGGGAAUAUUGCACAAUGGGCGCAAGCCUGAUGCAGCGACGCCGCGUGGGGGAUGACGGCCUUCGGGUUGUAAACUCCUUUCGAUAGGGACGAAGCUUUUUGUGACGGUACCUAGAUAAGAAGCACCGGCUAACUACGUG